This 465-nucleotide ribosomal RNA is filed under the name uncultured bacterium. RNAcentral describes it as "partial 16S ribosomal RNA". It matches the Rfam family "Bacterial small subunit ribosomal RNA", at positions 339 to 795 of the family's 1533-position model. The record is from RNAcentral.
CUACGGGGGGCUGCAGUGAGGGAUUUUGCGCAAUGGGGGAAACCCUGACGCAGCAACGCCGCGUGAGUGAAGAAGGCCCUUGGGUCGUAAAGCUCUGUCAACAGGGAAGAAGUUAUGGAUUUUUAAUAGAGAUUUGUAUUGACGGUACCUGUGAAGGAAGCACCGGCUAACUCCGUGCCAGCAGCCGCGGUAAUACGGGGGGUGCAAGCGUUAUUCGGAAUUAUUGGGCGUAAAGGGCGCGCAGGCGGCCUUGUCAGCCAGAUGUGAAAGCCCAGGGCUCAACCCUGGAUGUGCAUUUGAAACAGCAAGGCUUGAGUACGGUAGAGGAAAGGGGAAUUCCUGGUAUAGAGGUGAAAUUCGUAGAUAUCAGGAGGAACACCGGUGGCGAAGGCGCCUUUCUGGACCUGUACUGACGCUGAGGCGCGAAGGCGUGGGUAGCGAACAGGAUUAGAUACCCCUGUAGUC